AUACUUACCUGACCAGGAAGAUUCCAUGAUCAUGAAGGUGGUUUUCCCAGGAUGAGGCAGGCUUAUCCAUUGCACUCCAGAUGUGCUGACCCUUGAAAUUUCCCCAAAUACAGGAAACUUGACUGCAUUGA
This 131-nucleotide small nuclear RNA is filed under the name Nomascus leucogenys (northern white-cheeked gibbon). RNAcentral describes it as "U1 spliceosomal RNA (ENSNLEG00000024685.2)". It matches the Rfam family "U1 spliceosomal RNA". Rfam says of the family: U1 is a small nuclear RNA (snRNA) component of the spliceosome (involved in pre-mRNA splicing). Its 5' end forms complementary base pairs with the 5' splice junction, thus defining the 5' donor site of an intron. Lineage: Eukaryota; Metazoa; Chordata; Mammalia; Primates; Hylobatidae. The record is from RNAcentral.